This 461-nucleotide ribosomal RNA is filed under the name uncultured bacterium. RNAcentral describes it as "partial 16S ribosomal RNA". It matches the Rfam family "Bacterial small subunit ribosomal RNA", at positions 338 to 795 of the family's 1533-position model. The record is from RNAcentral.
CCUACGGGAGGCAGCAGUGAGGAAUAUUGGUCAAUGGGCUUACGCCUGAACCAGCCAAGUCGCGUGAGGGAAGACUGCCCUAUGGGUUGUAAACCUCUUUUGUCAGGGAGCAAGGGCGGGGACGUGUCCCGGCCCGGAGAGUACCCGGAGAAAAAGCAUCGGCUAACUCCGUGCCAGCAGCCGCGGUAAUACGGAGGAUGCGAGCGUUAUCCGGAUUUAUUGGGUUUAAAGGGAGCGUAGGCCGGCUUUUAAGUCAGCUGUGAAAGUCCGCGGCUCAACCGUGGAAUUGCAGUUGAAACUGGAGGCCUUGAGUGCACACAGGGAUGCCGGAAUUCAUGGUGUAGCGGUGAAAUGCUUAGAUAUCAUGAAGAACUCCGAUCGCGAAGGCAAGUGUCCGGGGUGCAACUGACGCUGAGGCUCGAAAGUGCGGGUAUCAAACAGGAUUAGAUACCCUGGUAGUC